Molecule: non-coding RNA, 1624 nt
Organism: Nerophis ophidion (straightnose pipefish)
Lineage: Eukaryota; Metazoa; Chordata; Actinopteri; Syngnathiformes; Syngnathidae
Source: the annotation of a RefSeq genome assembly
GAGCUCAUUUGCAUGAGCGCUCCGCUUGGCCGCACCGCCACGUCUUGAUAAAUCUGGACUCUUUCCACGCACUGGGCUGGAAAAGUGCAUCAAGAUGUGGCCUGCACCAGUGCUUCUGCUCGUCCAGUCGGCUCUGCUGAUUCAAGGAUCUUCCGCCCAGGAUUUGUUGACCCAGACGGACAAAAUCAAGUAUGUCAGUCUACAUGGGACGGUGACCAUCAGCGCCAAAGGGAGUUCAAAUAUUGACGAUGAUCUCAGUUGGUACCAAGUGAAACCUGGACAGGUUCCUAAACCUCUGAUCUAUCGUGCAUCAAGUCUUGCUUCUGGAACACCAUCUCGAUUCAGUGGCACACGAUCUGGCUCUGACUACACUCUGACUAUCAGUGGUGUUCAGACAGACGAUGUCGCUGAUUACUACUGUUUUGCCUGGGUUGGACCUGGAAGGUUUACACGGUGAUUGAGAGCUGUACAAAAACCUCCUUUGGUUAGAGGGAAGUGAAAGUGGAAGAUGUGAUGAUGACUGGUCCACUGAACAAAGAUCACCAAGCAGAACCAGCGUCAACUUGAACAAGUUGAUUGGCUUGUAAGAAAAAGUUGAAAUGAGGGAAGAAGAAGUCACACUGUUCUGUCCCAUAAACAUUCUAUACCAGGGGUCUUCAAACUUUUCCAGGCCAAAGACAAUAAAGAUGGAGUGAGGACGCCCUGGCUUGUAUAAAAUUAUAUAAUUAUUCAAAUGAAAUUGUACUAAAUGAUAUUAUUAUUAUAAAUUAAAAUUAUACUUUUAGGUUUCAUACCUCAAAUCUUCAUGAAUUAACUCCUAAGUCACUCACAUUAAACUGAAUAUUGCUAAUUUAAAUACUUGUUGAAGGCCACUAAGGGCCACACAAAGACUAGACCAUGCUAAUGCUAACAAGUGUCCUAUUAUAUGAGUAGAGACUCUUAUUUAUUGGUUCACUUAGCAGGCUGAAAGGUGCCAAUUUUGCCUUAAAACAGAACUUUGGAUACAAACGGAGGUAACUUGUUGGUUUUGAAACUACAAACCUUUUCAUCAUCGGCGCACAUCAGCUUUGAAAUACUAUCUUACAGCCAAACACGGACUCCAGGAUGGCAACUUCUUUUGUAAACAGCGACUAGCGACACAUUUCAUGACUUUUCCCGCUGAUAUUGGAGACUUUUUUGUGUCUUGGAGACUCUUAGGUAAAAGUAACGGCUGCUGCCGAUGUGCUAGCAAGUUCAAUCUAAACCUAAACAUUUUGAUCUAAAUCUUUAAGGGGAACUGCACUUUUGGGGGGAAUUUGGACUAUCGUUCACCAUCUGUGAUGAUCCAUUGCCUGAAUCCUAUUUUGUUUUAGUUUAAGACUCCCCUAGUUCUGUUUCAGCACCCCUGGGUUUGUGUUUCUUGGUUGCCAUGGGUGCUGAUUAUUUUCACCUGCCUCUGAUUAGUGUUGGGGACGCUCACCUGCUCCUGGGCACUAAUCAGAGAACUAUUUAUACCUGCCUUUCGCCACACUCGGUCUGGCUGUUUUGCUUGCUACAUGCAACAAGUUACGUUUGGUUAGUCCUGUGAUUCUCGAUUCUUGUUUCUGCGCCAUAGCUUCCCAUGCUAUCGGCCCGCUUUAAUGUU